Aegilops tauschii subsp. strangulata is the source of this 589-nucleotide non-coding RNA. The record is from RefSeq and is a predicted model, not a curated record. Lineage: Eukaryota; Viridiplantae; Streptophyta; Magnoliopsida; Poales; Poaceae.
CCCGAGUAUGUAUCACUAGAACGGUCUAGGUCGGCGACACCAUCAGAUCCCGCUUCGGGGCAGGGCCAUGGUGAACCUUUCGAGGAUGAGGACGUGGGUGUGGUCACCCAAGAGGUUGCUGAUGAUAUGACCUUGGGGAGGUACCAGGCUCGGUCUGCAUACGAGUUGAAGCCUAGGACGGGAAUCAACAAGUACACACCUGAAGACUUCACCCAAAGAGGCCAAAGAGGCAAAAGGACGGUCGGCACCUCGCGGAUGGCGGCUUUGGAUGACUAUUUGGAUGACGUGGACGAACCGGAGCCGGAGCGGGUUCCUCUUCCUAGGAAGGUGAAGAAGAUAAGCGUCAAGAGGGGGGAGGAGCCAGCAAGCGUGGAAAGCACUAGUCAUCGUCAUUUUUUUAUAAUGUUGAACUUAGAGUGGAAUUUGUUAUGUCGUUGAACUUGGAGUGGUCGUACCUAUUAGUAAUGUGGAAUUUGCUAUGUCGUUGAACUUGGAGUGGUGGUAGCUCUAUGUUAAACUUGAACUUAUUGUGAUGGUCCUUUCUAAGAAAUGAUGUCUGUGGUGAACCCUUUUUGAACCUUAAUGUUUA